GCCAGUGUGGCAUAGUGGUUUGAGCACUGGACUCUGACUCUGUAGAUCAGGCUUUGAUUCCCAGCUCUGGCA
This 72-nucleotide transfer RNA is filed under the name Phrynosoma platyrhinos (Desert horned lizard). RNAcentral describes it as "tRNA-OTHER". It matches the Rfam family "tRNA". Rfam says of the family: Transfer RNA (tRNA) molecules are approximately 80 nucleotides in length. Their secondary structure includes four short double-helical elements and three loops (D, anti-codon, and T loops). Further hydrogen bonds mediate the characteristic L-shaped molecular structure. tRNAs have two regions of fundamental functional importance: the anti-codon, which is responsible for specific mRNA codon recognition, and the 3' end, to which the tRNAs corresponding amino acid is attached (by aminoacyl-tRNA synthetases). tRNAs cope with the degeneracy of the genetic code in two manners: having more than one tRNA (with a specific anti-codon) for a particular amino acid; and 'wobble' base-pairing, i.e. permitting non-standard base-pairing at the 3rd anti-codon position. Lineage: Eukaryota; Metazoa; Chordata; Lepidosauria; Squamata; Phrynosomatidae. The record is from RNAcentral.